RNAcentral lists this transfer RNA (70 nucleotides) under Tricholepidion gertschi. RNAcentral's name for it is "tRNA-Phe". The record is from RNAcentral. Lineage: Eukaryota; Metazoa; Arthropoda; Insecta; Zygentoma; Lepidotrichidae.
GUUCCUAUACCUUAUUUAGAGGAUAGCAUUGAAGCUGCUAACGAGAAAAAAUUAUAAAGUUCUGGGAAUA